This 883-nucleotide ribosomal RNA is filed under the name uncultured bacterium. Its description in RNAcentral is "bacterial SSU rRNA". It matches the Rfam family "Bacterial small subunit ribosomal RNA", at positions 553 to 1434 of the family's 1533-position model. The record is from RNAcentral.
ACUGGGCGUAAAGGGUCUGUAGGUGGUUUGUUAAGUCAGAUGUGAAAGCCCAGGGCUCAACCUUGGAACUGCAUUUGAUACUGGCAAACUAGAGUAUGGUAGAGGAAUGGGGAAUUUCUGGUGUAGCGGUGAAAUGCGUAGAGAUCAGAAGGAACACCAAUGGCGAAGGCAACAUUCUGGACCAAUACUGACACUGAGGGACGAAAGCGUGGGGAUCAAACAGGAUUAGAUACCCUGGUAGUCCACGCUGUAAACGAUGAGUACUAGCUGUUGGAUUCGGUGUAAAGGAUCUAGUGGCGUAGCUAACGCGUUAAGUACUCCGCCUGGGGACUACGGCCGCAAGGCUAAAACUCAAAGGAAUUGACGGGGACCCGCACAAGCGGUGGAGCAUGUGGUUUAAUUCGAUGCAACGCGAAGAACCUUACCUGGUCUUGACAUCCUGCGAACUUUCUAGAGAUAGAUUGGUGCCUUCGGGAACGCAGUGACAGGUGCUGCACGGCUGUCGUCAGCUCGUGUUGUGAAAUGUUGGGUUAAGUCCCGCAACGAGCGCAACCCCUAUUGAUAGUUACCAUCAUUAAGUUGGGUACUCUAUUGAGACUGCCGCUGACAAGGCGGAGGAAGGUGGGGACGACGUCAAGUCAUCAUGGCCCUUACGACCAGGGCUACACACGUGCUACAAUGGGUAUUACAGAGGGCAGCGAAGUAGCGAUAUGGAGCGAAACUCAGAAAGGUACUCUUAGUCCGGAUUGCAGUCUGCAACUCGACUGCAUGAAGUCGGAAUCGCUAGUAAUCGCAGGUCAGAAUACUGCGGUGAAUACGUUCCCGGGUCUUGUACACACCGCCCGUCACACCAUGGGAGUGGGUUGCUCCAGAAGUAGAUAGC